AUGAACGCUGGCGGCGUGCCUAAUACAUGCAAGUCGAGCGAACAGACGAGGAGCUUGCUCCUCUGACGUUAGCGGCGGACGGGUGAGUAACACGUGGAUAACCUACCUAUAAGACUGGGAUAACUUCGGGAAACCGGAGCUAAUACCGGAUAAUAUAUUGAACCGCAUGGUUCAAUAGUGAAAGACGGUUUUGCUGUCACUUAUAGAUGGAUCCGCGCCGCAUUAGCUAGUUGGUAAGGUAACGGCUUACCAAGGCAACGAUGCGUAGCCGACCUGAGAGGGUGAUCGGCCAUACUGGAACUGAGACACGGUCCAGACUCCUACGGGAGGCAGCAGUAGGGAAUCUUCCGCAAUGGGCGAAAGCCUGACGGAGCAACGCCGCGUGAGUGAUGAAGGUCUUCGGAUCGUAAAACUCUGUUAUUAGGGAAGAACAAAUGUGUAAGUAACUAUGCACGUCUUGACGGUACCUAAUCAGAAAGCCACGGCUAACUACGUG
Molecule: ribosomal RNA, 496 nt
Filed under: uncultured bacterium
Lineage: Bacteria
Description: partial 16S ribosomal RNA
Rfam family: Bacterial small subunit ribosomal RNA
Source: RNAcentral